UACGGAGGGAGCUAGCGUUGUUCGGAAUUACUGGGCGUAAAGCGCGCGUAGGCGGCUUUGUAAGUUAGAGGUGAAGGCCCGGGGCUCAACCCCGGAACUGCCUUUAAGACUGCAUCGCUUGAAUCCAGGAGAGGUGAGUGGAAUUCCGAGUGUAGAGGUGAAAUUCGUAGAUAUUCGGAAGAACACCAGUGGCGAAGGCGGCUCACUGGACUGGUAUUGACGCUGAUGUGCGAAAGCGUGGGGAGCAAACAGG
Molecule: ribosomal RNA, 253 nt
Filed under: uncultured bacterium
Lineage: Bacteria
Description: partial 16S ribosomal RNA
Rfam family: Bacterial small subunit ribosomal RNA
Source: RNAcentral